CGCAUGCCUCCUGGCUCACACAUAAUUAUCUUGAAUGGUGACCUAUUUCUGGGAGGGCCAUCCUCACAGUAUCACUGACUCACCCCUUAUUCACAUUAAGUCUUGGUAGACAGUGCGUACCUGCGAACAAACAGGGCAUGCAAAUCAAGGCAUUUCAAAGAGGACAGUCAUGACACGUGCUAAAAUCUUCCUGUGAAAACAUGCAGUGUGCAGAAAACUAUA
Molecule: non-coding RNA, 222 nt
Organism: Pelobates cultripes (western spadefoot toad)
Lineage: Eukaryota; Metazoa; Chordata; Amphibia; Anura; Pelobatidae
Source: the annotation of a GenBank genome assembly